CCUGAGCUCAGGCAAG
This 16-nucleotide ribosomal RNA is filed under the name Haematococcus rubicundus. RNAcentral describes it as "partial large subunit ribosomal RNA". Lineage: Eukaryota; Viridiplantae; Chlorophyta; Chlorophyceae; Chlamydomonadales; Haematococcaceae. The record is from RNAcentral.